AGCCACUGCUAUCGGGCUCCGACUAAGCCAUGCGAGUCAAGGGGCCCUUCGGGGCACCGGCGCACGGCUCAGUAACACGUGGCCAACCUACCCUCGGGUGGGGGAUAACCUCGGGAAACUGAGGCUAAUCCCCCAUAGGGGAUGGGAUCUGGAAGGCCCUGUCCCCGAAAGCUCCGGCGCCCGAGGAUGGGGCUGCGGCCCAUCAGGUAGUAGGUGGGGUAAAGGCCCACCUAGCCUGCGACGGGUACGGGCCCUGUGAGGGGGAGCCCGGAGAUGGACCCUGAGACACGGGUCCAGGCCCUACGGGGCGCAGCAGGCGCGAAAAUUGAGCAGUGCGCGAAAGCGCGACUCAGGGAGCCCGAGUGCCCCUCGCUAUGCGGGGGGCUUUUCCCGAGCCUAAAAAGCUCGGGGAAUAAGGGCUGGGCAAGACGGGUGCCAGCCGCCGCGGUAAUACCCGCAGCUCAAGUGGUGGCCGCUAUUAUUGAGCCUAAAGCGUCCGUAGCCGGACCCGUAAAUCCCCGGGUAAAUCGGGUCGCUCAACGAUCCGGCUCUCGGGGAGACUGCGGGUCUUGGGACCGGGAGAGGCCGGAGGUACUCCCGGGGUAGGGGCAAAAUCCUAUAAUCCCGGGGGGACCACCAGUGGCGAAGGCGUCCGGCUGGAACGGCUCCGACGGUGAGGGACGAAGGCCAGGGGAGCAAACCGGAUUAGAUACCCGGGUAGUCCUGGCUGUAAACGCUGCCCGCCUGGUGUUGGGGCCCUUACGGGGGGUCCCAGUGCCGGACCGAAGGGG
RNAcentral lists this ribosomal RNA (791 nucleotides) under uncultured euryarchaeote. Its description in RNAcentral is "bacterial SSU rRNA". It matches the Rfam family "Archaeal small subunit ribosomal RNA", at positions 21 to 814 of the family's 1478-position model. The record is from RNAcentral. Lineage: Archaea; Methanobacteriati; Methanobacteriota.